Molecule: ribosomal RNA, 134 nt
Filed under: uncultured eukaryote
Lineage: Eukaryota
Description: partial 18S ribosomal RNA
Rfam family: Eukaryotic small subunit ribosomal RNA
Source: RNAcentral
UGGUGGAGCGAUUUGUCUGGUUAAUUCCGAUAACGAACGAGACUCUGGCCUAUUAAAUAGACGAGGUAUUUAAAUGUACCUCGCGCUUCUUAGAGGGACAAGCGGCGUCUAGUCGCAUGAAAAGAGCAAUAACA